Molecule: long non-coding RNA, 420 nt
Filed under: Mus spicilegus (steppe mouse)
Lineage: Eukaryota; Metazoa; Chordata; Mammalia; Rodentia; Muridae
Description: lncRNA (ENSMSIG00000019967.1)
Source: RNAcentral
GAUUUCUUGAGAGGAUGCUUGUCCUCACUUGGGCAGCAAAUGCGUUAAAGUGGGAAGCUGCCUGCUGACCUCCUUCCCCAGCAUCUAAACUCACAUCCGAAAAUGUCUCAAAGUCCCCCAGAUACUUGCAUCCUAUGACCUGGAAACAGACGUUAGCGUGUUGUCUCCUAAAUGAGAUGUUAGCCGUAACCCACAUCCUAGAGAAGCAUACUGUGUGCUCUCUAGGUGGGGUCACCCGCAUUCUACCGUGAAAGGAGCCUUGUUUCCCCUUCAGACUUCUUAGUCUGCUUUCCACCACCAGCAGUAAAACCCAAUGCCAGAGCUGGGCAGAUGUAUAUGUGGACUUGCUGAUGUCACUUUGCUGUGUUCUGUACUGGGAGGAACGGAGUAAGGCUUCUGUCACAUAGAAUUUUACCAGAA